UUGUUUUGAUGAUUUUUAUUUCCCAGUGACAGAUGACUGGCCCACAGGAAAACAAUUAGAGAUUUGUUGAACUGAACAA
Peromyscus californicus insignis is the source of this 79-nucleotide small nucleolar RNA. RefSeq annotates it as small nucleolar RNA SNORD66. The transcript has a single exon. NCBI's taxonomy places the organism in Eukaryota, Metazoa, Chordata, Mammalia, Rodentia, Cricetidae. The record is from RefSeq and is a predicted model, not a curated record.